RNAcentral lists this long non-coding RNA (907 nucleotides) under Numida meleagris (helmeted guineafowl). RNAcentral describes it as "lncRNA (ENSNMEG00000018837.1)". The record is from RNAcentral. Lineage: Eukaryota; Metazoa; Chordata; Aves; Galliformes; Numididae.
UUUUGUACCACACAAGAUCAGAAACAGCUCUGUCUUGCAGGAAAGCACAUUCCACACCUGGGAAUCCCCUCACCAAGAAGUGUUAAUAUAACUGACCAUAUGUUAUGCACUGCACUACUGCUGCUGCUAAGACAGCUCUUUCUCCACAGGUGAGGAGGCCUUGAUGUAUGCCAUCAGCUGGGUGGGGAGUGAAGCCUUAGGGGAGAUGAGGAAGUAGCUGGGGGGUUCAGGUUGCUGAAUGCAACAGGUGGGAUUCCGGCCGUGUUUCAGGAUCAGCUGAGAUGCACACUGUUCAUCUUUCCAUCAUCUUCUCUUGGGCAGGAAGCCUAUGUGCGACAACAUUUAAUUUUCCGUCACUUCUGCAGUGUUCUUCUAACUGAGAAGCAGGAAAAGAUGUCAUUUACUAGCAGCUUCAUUCCUCUUUAUGGAAAAUAAUUCUGCUCUUUAACCAUCAAACAUUCCAGCCUCCAAGCAUCCAGCUCAUCAUGAAAGGGAUGAAUGAAAUCUGCAGUUGAAGCACACUGUGAAAGAAACCUAGAAGCCAUUUAAAUGGCUUUGGAAAACUCUUUUUUCCUCAUUUUUCACCAGCUGUAAAGCUUUCCAGUAAGGACACUUAAGGAUUCGAUAUCUGCAGCUUCAAAGAGGGAUGGACUUGAGAGCUGAACUGCCUGUCUGUAGUUCUAUUUCCCAUUGAUACAGUUUAUCAUCAUCUAGGGCUGCUAAUUGUGCUUCAUAAGUGCACGUUGUAACUGAAUUGCCAAAACCAAAGGUAUUCAAUCCUUUCGUUUUUCCACUGGAAGCUUACAUUCCCACAAUUGUACUGAAUUUCAAAUCAGUUUUGUGUUCCCGCAGCUAAUGAGGGGACAGAAACUUGCAAUAUGGAACUGUAAACUUUUAAAGAGGUUCG